This is a long non-coding RNA of Siniperca chuatsi (mandarin fish), 1891 nucleotides long. RefSeq lists it as uncharacterized. The transcript is spliced from 3 exons. The record is from RefSeq and is a predicted model, not a curated record. Lineage: Eukaryota; Metazoa; Chordata; Actinopteri; Centrarchiformes; Sinipercidae.
UAAAAAAUGUAUUUCUUAAUCAGUUUCUCCCAGGAACAAUCAUUCUUCAUACUAGCUAGCUCUCGAUACAUCAAAGCAUUAAAUUCCUCAACUGAAGCGCAUCCCCUCUGAAAUCACCAGGGCAGGCAAGCAUCCAAUGUGCAGCAAGGGACCUGCACACUUUUAACUCACAUUAAAGGCAGACAGAAAGUUUCACACGCUGCAUAUGGCUCUAUUUAUUGGCGAGUAGCACAAGGAGAAGAAACAUUUGGCACCUAGGUCCCUCCCUCCAGGGAUCUCCAUGCUUGAAUGAAUCCACGAGGAGGCGGUGUGCAGUGGAAUGAUAUGGACAGAGAGGGUGUUCAUGGUGGGGACUGAUAAAGGUAGAGGAGCAGCUGUCUCCUGGGGUAUUGCAGAGACCAAGCCCACAGGGAGGAGUGAAUGCCCAGCUGGCUGACAGGUGUCAAUGUGGGGCACUGGUUAUGAUACCACUGGGUACAUCUGAGGGGAAGGCUUCAUUAGGGACUCAGUAUGCAGAGAGCAUCAUCUCAGAGCGUGAUGGUGUUUGCAUUUUGAACAGAGAAGAUGUGAUGCAGACAAGGGAGAAAGGAAAAAUUUAAAAUUUCUCUCCUUUUACUAAUCCAACAUCUGCUUGUCUGUCUUUGUCUGUCUGUCUGUCCCUCAGCCUUCAUCUCCUUCAUUCUCUCACAAACAUCCCUCCUCACCCUCCUCCAACCUUCCUUUUUCCCGGAUGGCACAAGAGCUUGCAGGCUUUGAUGAGAGGUUUGAGCUAAAAUGUCACAGGGAUUAAGGGGUUUUGCCUCCUGCACCCCACCGGAUAAGUCCUGCUCGCCCUCUGUGCCUGAGAUUCCUCCUCCCCAAACAGGUGUGGAGUGACAUUUCUUUCUGCUCCGCUGUGCCCUAUUGAAUUUCCUUCCAGGGAAAUAACAUUCCUCCAUGUUUAGAGAUGAGUAAGGAGGGAAACGGGAGAUGGGGAGAGGUGAAGUGAAGGGAUGAGGAGAAGUGAGGAGAAAAGAGGAGUGGAGAUGAAGAAAGAUAAAUUGAGGGGAGUGUGAAUCGAGGGGGAGGAAGCAAUACUUGAGGGAGAGGGAAGAAAUGGGAAAAUUUGUUUUCUACAUUUUGGUUAAAUGGGGAUAUUCGUCUGUAUUAGCUUGGUACAGUAGUCCAUACUGUAUAUUCCUGUAAAUGCAUGCAAACCAGACAUUUAUAGUACAAAUGCAAAGUAAUGGUAAUUUUAUUUAAAAAGUAGUUCUAAGUUUGAAAAGUUGACUUCAAUCUUUUCUACAUUCAGCCCCCGCCCAGCAUCCCACACACACAUAGCAAAGACAGACACUUGGACUUAUCUGCAGCUGUUUCCUCCAAAUAGGUUAGACAGAUUUGAAAAUUAGAUGUCUCCAGAGAUGUGCAGUUCAGACGGUGCGCUUAACAUCACAUAGCUACAGCUGCUGCCAUAUUGAACAGCAUUCUGCAGUGUUUUCUCUGGCUGGGUCUACAAAAAGUUAGAGUAACAACCCCUCUUGCACGCAUUAGUCCACCUUAACCUUUGCCCUGCAGAUCUGUACCUACUGGAAUUUGUCCACUCGUCUUGUCAGUGUUGUUGUGCAUUGCUCUAGGGAAUUACACAGUACGACACAUCCCCAUCUGAACAGGUGAAGUGUCUAAACACAGCAACAGUAAAACAUAGCUCUGCUGCCAGUGUUAUAUUAGCUGUAAACAUGUAAAACUAUGGCUUAGUUAGUGUGUAAGUAAGUGUUUGUUCUGAAGAUACUGUCACAAGGAAGUGCACAAUAUCAAAAGACAUCAAAUGUAUGAUUUUUGUUGACAAUCUUCUGGCCUCUUUCUCAAAGCACAGAUUGUAUUGAUUAUGAAGACACUGAAGAAGCUCAAACAA